AUAAAACUAAACACGUCGUUAACUAAAAGACCACACAGAAAGUCGAUCAUUCUAUUAAGCACAGUCAUUAGGAUAAGACAGGUAAAUCUUUAUUUAGCUUUAGACAUGGAUCUGCUUAGUGCAAGGUCGUACGCAAUGAUAAUUCUUUUGGUAACGCACGCUCAUGCUGGACAAACUGAAGAGAAACAGCUGGAACUUCUAAGUGAAAACUACGUCAAAAUGCAAGAAAUGUUUAAAGAGCAAGCCACCCAAUUGGAAGAGCUGAAGAUUAAGAGUUCAACAACACGAGUCGGUUAUUAAUUCCAUGCAGAGAGACAAGUCGAUUGAAAUGGACUACAAGUCAGCCGGAAUUAUCAAUGCUACCCUUAGGCAAGGGACAUCAAGAAUUCCGCGAUCCUGUGCGGAUUUGAAAAAUAUAAUAAGAGAGACAAAACACAAUCAAUGUAAACUGCAAUACAAUUUGAGAAAGAAACAGAAAA
Long non-coding RNA from Daphnia pulex (common water flea), 479 nucleotides. RefSeq lists it as uncharacterized. NCBI's taxonomy places the organism in Eukaryota, Metazoa, Arthropoda, Branchiopoda, Diplostraca, Daphniidae. The transcript has 2 exons. The record is from RefSeq and is a predicted model, not a curated record.